This 305-nucleotide ribosomal RNA is filed under the name uncultured bacterium. RNAcentral's name for it is "bacterial SSU rRNA". It matches the Rfam family "Bacterial small subunit ribosomal RNA", at positions 337 to 634 of the family's 1533-position model. The record is from RNAcentral.
GCCUACGGGGCGCAGCAGUAGGGAAUCUUCCACAAUGGGCGAAAGCCUGAUGGAGCAACGCCGCGUGGGUGAAGAAGGUCUUCGGAUCGUAAAACCCUGUUGUUAGAGAAGAAAGUGCGUGAGAGUAACUGUUCACGUUUCGACGGUAUCUAACCAGAAAGCCACGGCUGACUACGUGCCAGCAGCCGCGGUAAUACGUAGGUGGCAAGCGUUAUCCGGAUUUAUUGGGCGUAAAGAGAACGCAGGCGGUCUUUUAAGUCUGAUGUGAAAGCCUUCGGCUUAACCGGAGUAGUGCAUUGGAAACU